This is a small nuclear RNA of Meriones unguiculatus (Mongolian gerbil), 104 nucleotides long. The record is from Ensembl. NCBI's taxonomy places the organism in Eukaryota, Metazoa, Chordata, Mammalia, Rodentia, Muridae.
GUGCUUUCUUCGCAGUGUUCCUACUUAAUUUGGGAUGCUACGGAGAAGAUCAGCGUGGCCCCUGUACAAGGAUGACACACAAGUCUGAAAUGUUCCGCCUUAAA